UACGUAGGGUGCGAGCGUUAAUCGGAAUUACUGGGCGUAAAGCGUGCGCAGGCGAUUUGGUAAGACAGGCGUGAAAAUCCCCGGGCGUCAACCUGGGAACGUAGCGCUUGUGGCUGCCUCACUAGAGUACGGCAGAGGGGGGUGGGAAUUCCACCGUGUAGCAGUGAAAUGCGUAGAGAUGUGGAGGAACACCGAUGGCGAAGGCAGCCCCCUGGG
RNAcentral lists this ribosomal RNA (216 nucleotides) under uncultured bacterium. RNAcentral's name for it is "partial 16S ribosomal RNA". It matches the Rfam family "Bacterial small subunit ribosomal RNA", at positions 524 to 733 of the family's 1533-position model. The record is from RNAcentral.